UACGAGGGGGGCAAGCGUUGUUCGGAAUUAUUGGGCGUAAAGGGCGCGUAGGCGGUGCGGUAAGUCACCUGUGAAAACUCUGGGCUCAACUCAGAGCCUGCAGGCGAAACUGCCGUGCUUGAGGGACCUAGAGGUGAGCGGAACUGAUGGUGGAGCGGUGAAAUGCGUUGAUAUCAUCAGGAACACCGGAGGCGAAGGCGGCUCACUGGGGGUCUUCUGACGCUGAGGAACGAAAGCCAGGGGAGCGAACGGG
Molecule: ribosomal RNA, 253 nt
Filed under: uncultured bacterium
Lineage: Bacteria
Description: partial 16S ribosomal RNA
Rfam family: Bacterial small subunit ribosomal RNA
Source: RNAcentral